GCGGGUAUAGCGUAGCGGCAACGUACCGGUUUUCCAAACCGGAGAGGCUGGUUCGAAUCCGGCUACCCGCU
RNAcentral lists this transfer RNA (71 nucleotides) under Saprospirales bacterium. RNAcentral's name for it is "tRNA-Gly". It matches the Rfam family "tRNA". Rfam says of the family: Transfer RNA (tRNA) molecules are approximately 80 nucleotides in length. Their secondary structure includes four short double-helical elements and three loops (D, anti-codon, and T loops). Further hydrogen bonds mediate the characteristic L-shaped molecular structure. tRNAs have two regions of fundamental functional importance: the anti-codon, which is responsible for specific mRNA codon recognition, and the 3' end, to which the tRNAs corresponding amino acid is attached (by aminoacyl-tRNA synthetases). tRNAs cope with the degeneracy of the genetic code in two manners: having more than one tRNA (with a specific anti-codon) for a particular amino acid; and 'wobble' base-pairing, i.e. permitting non-standard base-pairing at the 3rd anti-codon position. Lineage: Bacteria; Pseudomonadati; Bacteroidota; Saprospiria; Saprospirales. The record is from RNAcentral.